GACUCUCGGCACGGAUAUCUCGGCUCUCGCAUCGAUGAGAACGUAGCGAAAUGCGAUACUUGGUGUGAAUUGCAGAAUCCCGUGACCAUCGAGUCUUGAACGCAGUUGCGCCCGAGCCUCUGGUCGAGGGCACGUCUGCCUGGUGUCA
This 148-nucleotide ribosomal RNA is filed under the name Salix viminalis (osier). It matches the Rfam family "5.8S ribosomal RNA". Rfam says of the family: 5.8S ribosomal RNA (5.8S rRNA) is a component of the large subunit of the eukaryotic ribosome. It is transcribed by RNA polymerase I as part of the 45S precursor that also contains 18S and 28S rRNA. Lineage: Eukaryota; Viridiplantae; Streptophyta; Magnoliopsida; Malpighiales; Salicaceae. The record is from RNAcentral.